This 259-nucleotide ribosomal RNA is filed under the name uncultured prokaryote. RNAcentral describes it as "partial 16S ribosomal RNA". It matches the Rfam family "Bacterial small subunit ribosomal RNA", at positions 524 to 782 of the family's 1533-position model. The record is from RNAcentral.
UACGUAGGUGGCAAGCGUUGUCCGGAUUUAUUGGGCGUAAAGGGAGCGCAGGCGGUGACUUAAGUCUGAUGUGAAAGCCCACGGCUCAACCGUGGAAGGUCAUUGGAAACUGGGUCACUUGAAUAUAGAAGAGGAAAGUGGAAUUCCAUGUGUAGCGGUGAAAUGCAUAGAUAUAUGGAGGAACACCAGUGGCGAAGGCGACUUUCUGGUCUAUUAUUGACGCUGAGGCUCGAAAGCAUGGGUAGCAAACAGGAUUAGA